CCCUUAGAUGUUCUGGGCCGCACGCGCGCUACAAUGAUGCAGGCAACGAGUGCUGCUCCUUGGCCGAAAGGCUUGGGGAACCUUGAAAACUGCAUCGUGCUAGGGAUAGAUGAUUGCAAUCGUGCAUCUUGAACGAGGAAUGCCUUGUAAGCGUGAGUCAUCAACUCGCGCUGAAUACGUCCCUGCCCUUUGUACACACCGCCCGUCGCUCCUACCGAUUGAAUGCUCAGGUGAGCCAUUCGGACUUUCAUCAUGCUGGUUUCCAGUUUUGAUGAAGGAAAGUCUUGCGAACCUUAUCAUUUAGAGGAAGGAGAAGUCGUAACA
RNAcentral lists this ribosomal RNA (324 nucleotides) under uncultured eukaryote. RNAcentral's name for it is "partial 18S ribosomal RNA". It matches the Rfam family "Eukaryotic small subunit ribosomal RNA", at positions 1470 to 1796 of the family's 1831-position model. The record is from RNAcentral.